Molecule: ribosomal RNA, 253 nt
Filed under: uncultured bacterium
Lineage: Bacteria
Description: partial 16S ribosomal RNA
Rfam family: Bacterial small subunit ribosomal RNA
Source: RNAcentral
UACGUAGGGUGCAAGCGUUGUCCGGAAUUACUGGGCGUAAAGAGCUCGUAGGUGGUUUGUCGCGUUGUUCGUGAAAACUCACAGCUUAACUGUGGGCGUGCGGGCGAUACGGGCAGACUAGAGUACUGCAGGGGAGACUGGAAUUCCUGGUGUAGCGGUGGAAUGCGCAGAUAUCAGGAGGAACACCGGUGGCGAAGGCGGGUCUCUGGGCAGUAACUGACGCUGAGGAGCGAAAGCGUGGGGAGCGAACAGG